Molecule: long non-coding RNA, 230 nt
Filed under: Capsicum annuum
Lineage: Eukaryota; Viridiplantae; Streptophyta; Magnoliopsida; Solanales; Solanaceae
Description: long non-coding RNA (CANN_LNC019893)
Source: RNAcentral
UUUCAAUGGUUUCUUACGUUAUCUAGCGUGUAUAUUUUGUUACUUUCAUGUAUUUCGUGCUCUACAUUUUAAAAAUAUAAUUCGUUUGUUGGUUUGAAAUAAUAUUCAUUAAAAUAAUUUUGAGUUUUGCGUAAGAUAAUUUUUAGAGUUGUUAACGUUAGAAGAUAUAGUGAUACAUUUAAUUAGUGCGCGAUUAGUGUAAUUGUGUUUAAAUGAGAACAAGAAUAUAG